RNAcentral lists this ribosomal RNA (463 nucleotides) under uncultured bacterium. RNAcentral's name for it is "partial 16S ribosomal RNA". It matches the Rfam family "Bacterial small subunit ribosomal RNA", at positions 28 to 507 of the family's 1533-position model. The record is from RNAcentral.
GAUGAACGCUGACAGAAUGCUUAACACAUGCAAGUCUUUGGCGAAGCUGUGCUCGCACAGCCUAGCCAAGGCGGACGGGUGAGUAACGCGUAGGGAACUUGCCCUGCAGUCAGGGAUAACAGACGGAAACGACUGAUAAGACCUGGUAAAGUCAGGCGGACUCAUGUCCAGCCUGAUGAAAAGAGAUGCUGCAGGAGAGCCUUGCGUCCUAUUAGCUUGUUGGUGGGGUAACGGCCCACCAAGGCGAUGAUAGGUAGCCGGCCUGAGAGGGUGGACGGCCACAAGGGGACUGAGAUACGGCCCUUACUCCUACGGGAGGCAGCAGUGGGGAAUAUUGGACAAUGGGGGCAACCCUGAUCCAGCAAUUCUGUGUGCACGAUGAAGGUUUUCGGAUUGUAAAGUGCUUUCAGCAGGGAAGAAAAAAAUGACGGUACCUGCAGAAGAAGCGACGGCUAAAUACGUG